GACGAACCGUCCUAACGUUGUUCGGAAUCACUGGGCUUAAAGGGCGCGUAGGCGGGUUCCCAAGUCGGUGGUGAAAUCUUUCGGCCCAACCGGAAAACAGCCGCCGAUACUGGGAGUCUUGAGGGAGGUAGGGGUCGAUGGAACUUCCGGUGGAGCGGUGAAAUGCGUAGAGAUGUGGAGGAACACCAAUGGCGAAGGCAGCCUUCUGGGCCAACACUGACGCUCAUGCACGAAAGCGUGGGGAGCAAACAGG
RNAcentral lists this ribosomal RNA (253 nucleotides) under uncultured bacterium. RNAcentral describes it as "partial 16S ribosomal RNA". It matches the Rfam family "Bacterial small subunit ribosomal RNA", at positions 524 to 776 of the family's 1533-position model. The record is from RNAcentral.